AUUGCACCCAAACCCCAAAAGACCCUUGUUUUUCCUUAACAAUGAUCUUAUCUUGGGUGCAGACAGUAAAUGGACCUUGUCGCCUUUCUGGAGCUGAUGAAAGUGCCCCAGAAAGUGAAAUAGUGGGUUCUACACUU
Small nucleolar RNA from Monodelphis domestica (gray short-tailed opossum), 137 nucleotides. Lineage: Eukaryota; Metazoa; Chordata; Mammalia; Didelphimorphia; Didelphidae. The record is from Ensembl.